Molecule: ribosomal RNA, 465 nt
Filed under: Vreelandella stevensii
Lineage: Bacteria; Pseudomonadati; Pseudomonadota; Gammaproteobacteria; Oceanospirillales; Halomonadaceae
Description: partial 16S ribosomal RNA
Rfam family: Bacterial small subunit ribosomal RNA
Source: RNAcentral
CCUACGGGUGGCUGCAGUGGGGAAUAUUGGACAAUGGGGGGAACCCUGAUCCAGCCAUGCCGCGUGUGUGAAGAAGGCCCUCGGGUUGUAAAGCACUUUCAGUGGGGAAGAACGCCUGGUGGUUAAUACCCAUCAGGAAAGACAUCACUCACAGAAGAAGCACCGGCUAACUCCGUGCCAGCAGCCGCGGUAAUACGGAGGGUGCGAGCGUUAAUCGGAAUUACUGGGCGUAAAGCGCGCGUAGGUGGCUUGAUAAGCCGGUUGUGAAAGCCCCGGGCUCAACCUGGGAACGGCAUCCGGAACUGUCAAGCUAGAGUGCAGGAGAGGAAGGUAGAAUUCCCGGUGUAGCGGUGAAAUGCGUAGAGAUCGGGAGGAAUACCAGUGGCGAAGGCGGCCUUCUGGACUGACACUGACACUGAGGUGCGAAAGCGUGGGUAGCAAACAGGAUUAGAUACCCGAGUAGUC